AGCGAACGUUGGCGGCGCGCCUAACACAUGCAAGUCGAUCGCGAAAGGACUUCGGUCCGAGUAGAGUGGCGCACGGGUGAGUAACACGUGAGUAAUCUGCCCUUAAGCUUGGGAUAACAUGCCGAAAGGCGUGCUAAUACCGAAUGAGACCACGUCCUCUGUGGAGGAUGUGAGAAAAGAUGGGGAUCCGAGAGGACCUAUCACUUGAGGAUGAGCUCGCGGCCUAUCAGCUAGUUGGCGGGUAAUGGCCCACCAAGGCGAAGACGGGUAGCUGGUCUGAGAGGAUGAUCAGCCACACUGGAACUGAGACACGGUCCAGACUUCUACGGAAGCAGCAGUGGGGAAUUUGCGCAAUGGGCGAAAGCCUGACGCAGCGACGCCGCGUGUGCGAUGAAGGCCUUUGGGUCGUAAAGCACUGUCGGUCGGGACGAAAUCUCAUACGAUAACACCGUAUGAGUUUGACGGUACCGGCAAAGGAGACG
Molecule: ribosomal RNA, 482 nt
Filed under: uncultured bacterium
Lineage: Bacteria
Description: bacterial SSU rRNA
Rfam family: Bacterial small subunit ribosomal RNA
Source: RNAcentral